This 497-nucleotide ribosomal RNA is filed under the name uncultured bacterium. RNAcentral describes it as "partial 16S ribosomal RNA". It matches the Rfam family "Bacterial small subunit ribosomal RNA", at positions 28 to 507 of the family's 1533-position model. The record is from RNAcentral.
GAUGAACGCUGGCGGCGUGCCUAAUACAUGCAAGUCGAGCGAACAGACGAGGAGCUUGCUCCUCUGACGUUAGCGGCGGACGGGUGAGUAACACGUGGAUAACCUACCUAUAAGACUGGGAUAACUUCGGGAAACCGGAGCUAAUACCGGAUAAUAUGUUGAACCGCAUGGUUCAAUAGUGAAAGACGGUUUUGCUGUCACUUAUAGAUGGAUCCGCGCCGCAUUAGCUAGUUGGUAAGGUAACGGCUUACCAAGGCAACGAUGCGUAGCCGACCUGAGAGGGUGAUCGGCCACACUGGAACUGAGACACGGUCCAGACUCCUACGGGAGGCAGCAGUAGGGAAUCUUCCGCAAUGGGCGAAAGCUUGACGGAGCAACGCCGCGUGAGUGAUGAAGGUCUUCGGAUCGUAAAACUCUGUUAUUAGGGAAGAACAAAUAUGUAAGUAACUAUGCACGUCUUGACGGUACCUAAUCAGAAAGCCACGGCUAACUACGUG